RNAcentral lists this ribosomal RNA (500 nucleotides) under uncultured eukaryote. RNAcentral describes it as "eukaryotic LSU rRNA". It matches the Rfam family "Eukaryotic large subunit ribosomal RNA", at positions 1828 to 2368 of the family's 3401-position model. The record is from RNAcentral.
CCAAACACACCAGAUCGUACCCAUAACCGCAUCAGGUCUCCAAGGUUAGCAGCCUCUGGUCGAUAGAAUAAUGCAGAUAAGGGAAUUCGGCAAAUUAGAUCCGUAACUUCGGGAAAAGGAUUGGCUCUGAGGAUUGGGUUAUAGUGGCUGCCAUUGAGAGGGGAACUAUGCAGGAGCUGCGUGAGUGGUUCUGAAUUGGUGAACCAGGAUUUGUCAGUUAGCUUACGCCAGCAACAAUCGACUCAGAACUGAAGCGGACAAGGGGAAUCCGACUGUUUAAUAAAACAUAGCUUUGUGAUGGAGUGAAAACUUGUUGACACAAAGUGAUUUCUGCCCAGUGCUUUGAAUGUGAAUAUGAAGUAAUUUGUAGAAGCUCAGGUAAACGGCGGGAGUAACUAUGACUCUCUUAAGGUAGCCAAAUGCCUCGUCAUCUAAUUAGUGACGCGCAUGAUGGAUUAAUGAGAUUCCCACUGUCCCUAUCUGCCAUCUAGCGAACCCAC